AUUGAACGCUGGCGGCAUGCUUUACACAUGCAAGUCGAACGGUAACAGGCCGCAAGGUGCUGACGAGUGGCGAACGGGUGAGUAAUGCAUCGGAACGUGCCCAGUCGUGGGGGAUAACGCAGCGAAAGCUGCGCUAAUACCGCAUACGAUCUAUGGAUGAAAGCGGGGGACCGUAAGGCCUCGCGCGAUUGGAGCGGCCGAUGUCAGAUUAGGUAGUUGGUGGGGGAAAGGCUCACCAAGCCAACGAUCUGUAGCUGGUCUGAGAGGACGACCAGCCACAUUGGGACUGAGACACGGCCCAGACUCCUACGGGAGGCAGCAGUGGGGAAUUUUGGACAAUGGGCGCAAGCCUGAUCCAGCAAUGCCGCGUGCAGGAAGAAGGCCUUCGGGUUGUAAACUGCUUUUGUACGGAACGAAAAGGCUCUGGAUAAUACCUGGGGCUCAUGACGGUACCGUAAGAAUAAGCACCGGCUAACUACGUGCCAGCAGCCGCGGUAA
RNAcentral lists this ribosomal RNA (498 nucleotides) under uncultured bacterium. RNAcentral's name for it is "partial 16S ribosomal RNA". It matches the Rfam family "Bacterial small subunit ribosomal RNA", at positions 29 to 523 of the family's 1533-position model. The record is from RNAcentral.